This 148-nucleotide signal recognition particle RNA is filed under the name Nomascus leucogenys (northern white-cheeked gibbon). RNAcentral describes it as "Metazoan signal recognition particle RNA". It matches the Rfam family "Metazoan signal recognition particle RNA". Rfam says of the family: The signal recognition particle (SRP) is a universally conserved ribonucleoprotein. It is involved in the co-translational targeting of proteins to membranes. The record is from Rfam by way of RNAcentral. Lineage: Eukaryota; Metazoa; Chordata; Mammalia; Primates; Hylobatidae.
GCCAGGCGUGGUGGUGCGUGCCUGGAGUCCCAGCUACUCAGGAGGCUGAGGCAGGAGGAUCACUUGAGCCCAAGAGAUCUGGGCUGCAGUGAGCUGUAAUUGCACCACUACACUCCAGCCUGGGCGACAGAUGGAGACCCUGUCUCAA